RNAcentral lists this ribosomal RNA (305 nucleotides) under uncultured bacterium. RNAcentral describes it as "bacterial SSU rRNA". It matches the Rfam family "Bacterial small subunit ribosomal RNA", at positions 338 to 660 of the family's 1533-position model. The record is from RNAcentral.
CCUACGGGGCGCAGCAGUGGGGGAUAUUGCACAAUGGGGGGAACCCUGAUGCAGCGACGCCGCGUGGGUGAAGAAGCGCCUCGGCGCGUAAAGCCCUGUCAGCAGGGAAGAAAAUGACGGUACCUGAAGAAGAAGCCCCGGCUAACUACGUGCCAGCAGCCGCGGUAAUACGGAGGGUGCGAGCGUUAAUCGGAAUUACUGGGCGUAAAGCGCUCGUAGGCGGUAUGUCAAGUCAAGGGUGAAAUCCCCGCGCUCAACGUGGGAACUGCCUUUGAAACUGGCAAACUGGAGUGUGUGAGAGGAUA